Molecule: long non-coding RNA, 199 nt
Filed under: Elaeis guineensis (African oil palm)
Lineage: Eukaryota; Viridiplantae; Streptophyta; Magnoliopsida; Arecales; Arecaceae
Description: long non-coding RNA (EGUI_LNC017297)
Source: RNAcentral
GCAUAUCUCAGCUGUUUCAUUAAUCUAAGAUCAUAAAAUAAUUUCUAUAAUUGAGAACUUUAUUUAUCUCCAAUAUGCAUAAAAGAAUAUAAUACUAUAACAACAAACAGCUUAGGCACAUAGAUAUGUAUUUUCCAUGAUGCUGACUUUAUAUUCUUUUUUUAUGAUAAAACAAAAAGGGACACUGCAAAACAUGACC